RNAcentral lists this ribosomal RNA (269 nucleotides) under uncultured bacterium. RNAcentral describes it as "partial small subunit ribosomal RNA". It matches the Rfam family "Bacterial small subunit ribosomal RNA", at positions 26 to 286 of the family's 1533-position model. The record is from RNAcentral.
AGGACGAACGUUGGCGGCGUGCUUAACACAUGCAAGUCGAGCGGUAAGGCCCUUCGGGGUACACGAGCGGCGAACGGGUGAGUAACACGUGGGUGACCUGCCCCCUACUCUGGGAUAAACCUGGGAAACUGGGUCUAAUACCGGAUAUGACUACAUGUCGCAUGGUGUGUGGUGGAAAGCCAGUUACUUUGUUUCUGGUGGUGGGGGAUGGGCCCGCGGCCUAUCAGCUUGUUGGUGGGGUGAUGGCCUACCAAGGCGACGACGGGUAG